GUGUGUGUAUAUAAUGCAGUGUGUUUGUGUAGUGUGCAUUAUAUAAACACACUAUACAAACACACUGCAUUAUAUACACAGUGU
Molecule: non-coding RNA, 84 nt
Organism: Pelobates cultripes (western spadefoot toad)
Lineage: Eukaryota; Metazoa; Chordata; Amphibia; Anura; Pelobatidae
Source: the annotation of a GenBank genome assembly